This 252-nucleotide ribosomal RNA is filed under the name uncultured bacterium. RNAcentral's name for it is "partial 16S ribosomal RNA". It matches the Rfam family "Bacterial small subunit ribosomal RNA", at positions 524 to 776 of the family's 1533-position model. The record is from RNAcentral.
UACAGGGGGCGCGAGCGUUGCUCGGAAUCACUGGGCGUAAAGCGUACGCAGGCGGGUCGAUAAGUCCGUUGUGAAAUCCAGGCUCAACCUGGGAAUGGCGAUGGAUACUGGCUCGCUAGAGUGCGGUAGAGGAGAGUGGAAUUCCCGGUGUAGCAGUGAAAUGCGUAGAGAUCGGGAGGAACAUCAGUUGCGAAGGCGGACUCUCUGGACCAGCACUGACACUGAGGCACGAAAGCGUGGGGAGCAAACAGG